UACGGAGGAUGCAAGCGUUAUCCGGAUUCAUUGGGUUUAAAGGGCGCGUAGGCGGCUUUUUAAGUCAGCGGUGAAAUUUUGCAGCUUAACUGUAACAGUGCCGUUGAUACUGGGGAGCUAGGAUUUGGUUGCUGUGGGUGGAAUGUGUGGUGUAGCGGUGAAAUGCUUAGAGAUCACACAGAACACCGAUUGCGAAGGCAGCACACUAAGUCAUUAUUGACGCUGAGGCACGAAAGUGUGGGGAUCAAACAGGAUUA
RNAcentral lists this ribosomal RNA (257 nucleotides) under uncultured prokaryote. Its description in RNAcentral is "partial 16S ribosomal RNA". It matches the Rfam family "Bacterial small subunit ribosomal RNA", at positions 524 to 780 of the family's 1533-position model. The record is from RNAcentral.